This 253-nucleotide ribosomal RNA is filed under the name uncultured bacterium. RNAcentral describes it as "partial 16S ribosomal RNA". It matches the Rfam family "Bacterial small subunit ribosomal RNA", at positions 524 to 776 of the family's 1533-position model. The record is from RNAcentral.
UACGAAGGGGGCUAGCGUUGCUCGGAAUCACUGGGCGUAAAGCGCACGUAGGCGGAUCUUUAAGUCAGAGGUGAAAUCCCAGGGCUCAACCUUGGAACUGCCUUUGAAACUCCUGGUCUUGAGGUCGAGAGAGGUGAGUGGAAUUCCGAGUGUAGAGGUGAAAUUCGUAGAUAUUCGGAGGAACACCAGUGGCGAAGGCGGCUCACUGGCUCGAUACUGACGCUGAGGUGCGAAAGCGUGGGGAGCAAACAGG